RNAcentral lists this ribosomal RNA (468 nucleotides) under uncultured bacterium. RNAcentral's name for it is "partial 16S ribosomal RNA". It matches the Rfam family "Bacterial small subunit ribosomal RNA", at positions 28 to 507 of the family's 1533-position model. The record is from RNAcentral.
GAUGAACGCUGGCGGCGUGCUUAAUACAUGCAAGUCGAACGGAAAGGCCCUGCUUUUGUGGGUUUCUCGUUUGCGGAACGGGUGUGUAUCACGUGUGUAUCCUGCACUUGUCUUUGUGAUAACUUCAGGAAACUGGGGCUAUUAUCGGAUAGGAGCUCCUGCUGCAUAUGGGUGGUUGGUGAGUUUCGGCGGUGGGGGAUGUACUCGCGGGUUAUCAGCUCGCUGGUGAAGUAGGGGCUUACCAAGGUUUUGACGGGUAGCCGACCUGAGAGGUUGACCGGGGACAAUGGGACUGAGAGAGGGACCAGAAUGCAACGGGAGGCAACAGUGGAGAGUAUUACACAAUGAGGCGAAGCCUGAUGCAGAAACGCCGCGUGCGGAAUAACGGCCUUCUAGUUGUGAACCGCUUUCGCAGGUAACGAAGCGUGAGUGACGGUAAUGAAUAAGGAAGCACCGGCUAACUACGUG